GACGAACGCUGGCGGCGUGCUUAACACAUGCAAGUCGAACGAAGAGCGACGGAAGCUUGCUUCUAUCAAUCUUAGUGGCGAACGGGUGAGUAACGCGUAAUCAACCUGCCCUUCAGAGGGGGACAACAGUUGGAAACGACUGCUAAUACCGCAUACGUUCUAAUCUCGGCAUCGAGGAUGGAUGAAAGGUGGCCUCUACAUGUAAGCUAUCACUGAAGGAGGGGAUUGCGUCUGAUUAGCUAGUUGGAGGGGUAACGGCCCACCAAGGCGAUGAUCAGUAGCCGGUCUGAGAGGAUGAACGGCCACAUUGGGACUGAGACACGGCCCAGACUCCUACGGGAGGCAGCAGUGGGGAAUCUUCCGCAAUGGACGAAAGUCUGACGGAGCUACGCCGCGUGAGUGAUGACGGCCUUCGGGUUGUAAAGCUCUGUUAAUCGGGACGAAAGGCCUUCUUGCAAAUAGUGAGAAGGAUUGACGGUACCGGAAUAGAAAGCC
Molecule: ribosomal RNA, 495 nt
Filed under: Veillonella parvula
Lineage: Bacteria; Bacillati; Bacillota; Negativicutes; Veillonellales; Veillonellaceae
Description: bacterial SSU rRNA
Rfam family: Bacterial small subunit ribosomal RNA
Source: RNAcentral